RNAcentral lists this ribosomal RNA (498 nucleotides) under uncultured bacterium. Its description in RNAcentral is "partial 16S ribosomal RNA". It matches the Rfam family "Bacterial small subunit ribosomal RNA", at positions 28 to 507 of the family's 1533-position model. The record is from RNAcentral.
GACGAACGCUGGCGGCGUGCCUAAUACAUGCAAGUCGAGCGGACGAAUCGAAAGCUUGCUUUUGAUUCGUUAGCGGCGGACGGGUGAGUAACACGUGGGCAACCUGCCCUGUAGACGGGGAUAACACCGAGAAAUCGGUGCUAAUACCGGAUAACACGAAAUGUCGCAUGACGCUUCGUUGAAAGACGGUGCUAGCUGUCGCUACAGGUUGGGCCCGCGGCGCAUUAGCUAGUUGGUGAGGUAACGGCUCACCAAGGCGACGAUGCGUAGCCGACCUGAGAGGGUGAUCGGCCACACUGGGACUGAGACACGGCCCAGACUCCUACGGGAGGCAGCAGUAGGGAAUCUUCCGCAAUGGACGAAAGUCUGACGGAGCAACGCCGCGUGAGCGAAGAAGGCCUUCGGGUCGUAAAGCUCUGUUGUUAGGGAAGAACAAGUAACGCAGUAACUGGCGUUACCGUGACGGUACCUAACGAGAAAGCCACGGCUAACUACGUG